This 580-nucleotide ribosomal RNA is filed under the name uncultured bacterium. RNAcentral describes it as "bacterial SSU rRNA". It matches the Rfam family "Bacterial small subunit ribosomal RNA", at positions 102 to 678 of the family's 1533-position model. The record is from RNAcentral.
ACGGGUGAGUAGUGUCUGGGGAUCUGCCCGAUAGAGGGGGAUAACCACUGGAAACGGUGGCUAAUACCGCAUAACGUCGCAAGACCAAAGAGGGGGACCUUCGGGCCUCUCACUAUCGGAUGAACCCAGAUGGGAUUAGCUAGUAGGCGGGGUAACGGCCCACCUAGGCGACGAUCCCUAGCUGGUCUGAGAGGAUGACCAGCCACACUGGAACUGAGACACGGUCCAGACUCCUACGGGAGGCAGCAGUGGGGAAUAUUGCACAAUGGGCGCAAGCCUGAUGCAGCCAUGCCGCGUGUAUGAAGAAGGCCUUCGGGUUGUAAAGUACUUUCAGCGGGGAGGAAGGCGAUGUGGUUAAUAACCGCAUUGAUUGACGUUACCCGCAGAAGAAGCACCGGCUAACUCCGUGCCAGCAGCCGCGGUAAUACGGAGGGUGCAAGCGUUAAUCGGAAUUACUGGGCGUAAAGCGCACGCAGGCGGUCUGUUAAGUCAGAUGUGAAAUCCCCGGGCUUAACCUGGGAACUGCAUUUGAAACUGGCAGGCUUGAGUCUCGUAGAGGGGGGUAGAAUUCCAGGUGUAG